This 274-nucleotide ribosomal RNA is filed under the name uncultured bacterium. RNAcentral's name for it is "partial 16S ribosomal RNA". It matches the Rfam family "Bacterial small subunit ribosomal RNA", at positions 523 to 796 of the family's 1533-position model. The record is from RNAcentral.
AUACGGAGGGUGCAAGCGUUACUCGGAAUUACUGGGCGUAAAGGACGUGUAGGCGGUUUAGAAAGUCAGAUGUGAAAGCCUAUGGCUUAACCAUAGAACUGCAUUUGAAACUUCUAAACUAGAGUGGGGGAGAGGUCAGUGGAAUUAGUGGUGUAGGGGUAAAAUCCGUAGAGAUCACUAGGAAUACUCAUUGCGAAGGCGACUGACUGGAACUUAACUGACGCUGAGGCGUGAAAGCGUGGGGAGCAAACAGGAUUAGAAACCCGAGUAGUCC